RNAcentral lists this unclassified non-coding RNA (786 nucleotides) under Hevea brasiliensis (rubber tree). Lineage: Eukaryota; Viridiplantae; Streptophyta; Magnoliopsida; Malpighiales; Euphorbiaceae. The record is from RNAcentral.
UCAAUUUACCUCCUGGUCUAUCUGGUAUGCUUGUAAAUUUGGACAUUUCUCUUUAUUUGAAAUAUCAUUUACUAUAUGCUUAUAUGCAAGUGGGUUGGGUUUUAGUUAUUAAAAGAUGUUGAACUUAGGAUUAUCUGUUGGAAAAUGAAAUUUGGGUCUUGUGGAUCUGCUUCUAAUUCUUAAGACAGGUCGAGCUUCUAUUAAAAAGUGUCUGAAUAACUUUGUCAGAGUAUUUAGAAUUUUUCCUGUGAAAAUAUUGAGAUGUUGGUAAAAUCAUCCUCUGGUCUCUAAUAACAAUUCAAUUGGAAAUACAAUUCUGGACCAAGUGCUAACUGUUAUUAGUGUUUUAAAGGAAUGGUUGCACAUGAAAUUUGAAGUUUGAAGUAGGUAUUUUCAGUUCUUGUUCCUUUGUUAACAUGGGGCGUGCCUUGAUGUGCCCAAGGAACAUUGUAUGGGUUGCCCUGGCCUUGCCUUCAACCUUCUAAUUUACAUUCAAAUUGCUAUAAUGUGAUGUUAUUAGUAGUCUCAUUGAAACAGUUGCUUCUAUUUCAUUACUUGAAAUGGUGCUUUUGAGAAAAAUGCUAAGAAGGAUGGAGCAGGAAUGCAAAACUUAUUGUGUUUCAUUUUGUUUUAACUGUCUUGACUGUAAUUUAUCUUGAGAUUAGCUUAAAUAAGCCAUUUAUUUAUAGUUUUGAUGCGUCCCACAUUAGCUCCACAGGGAGGUCUUGGGUGUUAUUAUAUAUAUGAGUUUGCAAACUUUCCUUUGUGAGCUAGCUUUUGAGGUGG